This 2282-nucleotide unclassified non-coding RNA is filed under the name Pomacea canaliculata. Its description in RNAcentral is "uncharacterized LOC112564897, transcript variant X2". Lineage: Eukaryota; Metazoa; Mollusca; Gastropoda; Architaenioglossa; Ampullariidae. The record is from RNAcentral.
UGAUAUGAUUUCAUGAGCCCGUUGUAUCUGUUGUUUGCCCAUUUACCACAACUAGUCCCCUGUUGCGGCAAGUGACAAUCAGUGAAUGUAACCGAAGUACAUCCUGGUCUGAGGAUGUGCGCGAACAUUCUACAGGUCAUGACCUGACCAAGAUCCAGGACGUUUACACUGACUUAGAUACUACUUCCCUGAAUAUAUUGCAUUGCUCCGUCCCGAACUAGUUUGAUGAAGGCUUCUAACACCUGUCAACUGCGUACCCGAGGCAGGACACUACACGAUACCCGGACAAGGAGCUUCACUUGCUGCCCGUCGUCUGCCUUCUCCGAUAACAAACUGGAAAACACAACCUCCGCCGUGGAGCUGUCAUCUUUGGUCUCCUUCUCCUGAUCGCGGUUACAGAGACGAGUGGAAGGCCCGCAAAUCAAAAUCGAAACAAACCAAGAAGCGGGCAGGUAAACAGGACGAGACAAGACAGGAACCACCAGCAUUCAAACUGCAAACCGUUGCUUACAGCAGCUUUAAAGCACGCCCAGGCACUGAACAGUUCCAUACAGAAUCGAAUCAACUAUACCGCAAGCAAACUGGAAACAGAAUUUAAAAAACAGAUUCCAAAGAAUCGGUACUCCAAUGAGACAGAAUGUAGUGUCCCAGACAGCAAGCGCUUAAUAUUUUUCCGUAAUUGUUUCACUCACUUGAAUAACUCUGACAAAUGCCCUCCCAAGAUGCAUCGCGCGCUAUCACAUGUCAUCAACUCUCUGAAAGACCUCAACAAGGGCCUUCGUAUCCCCAAGACAAACCAGAAAAAUGAACCCAGCUGCAACUUUGAAGUCACGAAUGCUGAUUUAGCUGGUGAGUACGCUCAGUUCUAUUCCGAAAAACUUUUGGACAAUUUGAAAAAGCUGCGGUGUCAAGAAGAGAAGCAGAACGGAAGGAAUAAAAGAAAAGAAAAGAACAAAGGAGGAAAGGAAAGUACAGAAGGAAGAAAAAGAAAACGGAGAAGAAAGAAUAAAUCCCCCACAAGCAGUGUUAGCCCAGUGUAAAAUUGUUGUCACUUCAACGGAAAAUGAGAAAAAAGCUCGAAAGCUAAAAGAUGUGCAGACAUGGUCGUUUUCUACAAACAUUGGGGUUUACUGCAAUCAAUGUUAAUCUUUCUCAAAGGUCUUUAUUUAAAGCGCCAUCUGCUGGUUGACUGCACGACUGUGUCACGUGGUGUAGUGCAGACCCUAGGGACCCUGACGUCGUCAAGCCUGGUGUGGACAUUGGCUGUAGGGACCCAGCCGCUCGUAUUGCUGACUUCCAGUGUGGAAGUGGUACAGUGAUCUCAUUAAUACAAACAAAUUAUCUGGACAACAUUGAGAGUGAAAGAACAGUGCCAAGGCUGUAUAAAUGGAGAAAAGACUGAAAGUUUUUCGUUGAUUUUACUGCUUGAAAUUUUGUUUUAUAGGGAAGACUAAUUUUUUCCCUGAUUUACAUAAUUUUUAAAAUGUGCAAUAAGUAGAAGACAGGGCUUAAUAAUGACUACAUUACUCCAUUAUCAUUAACAGAAGUAUAUAUAUGUGUGUGUGUGAGAGAGACAUAUUUUCAAAGCUGCUCUAGUCCAAAGAUUUAAUCCGGUUCUUUUAUGUAGAACUGGCAAACUUUGUGUCAAAUGUUUCACAGCACUUCUCUAACUUCCACAUAUGUUACAUGUGAACUGUGUUUUUUUCUCCUUUUGUAUCCCAUUUCUUAUAUUCACUUACUCAGUCCCUCCGUUGUGUCAUUCACCCAGACCUCUGUGACACUGCGCGAGUGUUCUUCACCUCUCUCAUGAUUGCUUUUGUAAAUAAUCUUUCGGAUUGCAAAUAUUCAUCUUGAUUUCCAGCACAACUGAAAUGUAACAUUUACAUUGAUUGUUGGUCAUUGUGUACAUUGAGAAAAAUACAUUUACGUUUAUGUGGCUUGAAGACAAGGAGAGGGCUUCUCCUUGCUCGUUGCAUCAUUACUACACGCUCACCAUGUCAUUAUGUAUGUGCUAUGCACAAAUUCUUACAGUGUAUGUCAUUAAGACAAUAAAGACUAUAAACAACGCUAUCUGAACUUGACUGAACAGGUGUUUGGUGUCGACAGGGCAGAGAGGAUAAGAACGAACGAGCAAAACCGAUAAUUACUGACAUUUGUGUGUGUGUGUGUGUUUUAAUGUCACCUAUAUGUAUGGGUAUAAUUAUAGACAGAUACAGGCACAUCUGUAUGUGUCUAUGUAGGUAUACAUAUGUAUAGGUAUACUUUUAUAUACGUGUUAUACA